AAUGACCCAACAGUGCUAUGAUUAAGCAAAGGGUGGGAGGCACCUCACAAUGGCAAUAGCAGCAUCAAGACAAGGCCUGCUCAGUUGGUACCUGCUUCUUCAGGAAAUCGCCCAAAAGCCUGUUCUCCACCUGCACUGAGCUGUACCCUGAACAUCAAUUCCCAAUGAAAGGCUCUGAUGGAUGAAAUGAGUUCCUUGGCCUCACUCCAGCCUUGAAAUGGUCAUCCAUGAAGAAAAGCUGCUGGGAAGGAACCCAAGAACAGCACAGAGGACCUUACCCAUUGCCUACAUCCAGCAUGAGGACAGCAGUACCUCGAGCCCAAACCCUUCACCUGCCCUCCCCACAUCAUCAUUCUUUGGUCACUGCAUACACUGGGGAAGUCAGAUGCAGCUCUGUCACAGCUUACACUGCAGCAAAAUAUAACACUCAAGCAUACCCAGCACCGAA
Coturnix japonica (Japanese quail) is the source of this 448-nucleotide non-coding RNA. The record is from RefSeq and is a predicted model, not a curated record. Lineage: Eukaryota; Metazoa; Chordata; Aves; Galliformes; Phasianidae.